GACAGAGGAGCCAAGCGUUGUCCGGAUUGACUGGGCGUAAAGCGCACGCAGGCGGGUGCGCACGUGGGGGGUGAAAUCGGCGCGCUUAACGCGCCAUCGCCAUCCCAUACGGCGCGCCUGGAGCCUUGCAGAGGGCGGUGGAAUUGCCGGUGUAGUGGUGAAAUGCGCAGAUAUCGGGAGGAACACCCGUAGCGAAGGCGGCACUCUGGGCCGGAACUGACGCUGAGGAGCGAAAGCGUGGGGAGCAAACAGG
This 253-nucleotide ribosomal RNA is filed under the name uncultured bacterium. Its description in RNAcentral is "partial 16S ribosomal RNA". It matches the Rfam family "Bacterial small subunit ribosomal RNA", at positions 524 to 776 of the family's 1533-position model. The record is from RNAcentral.